Molecule: long non-coding RNA, 950 nt
Filed under: Physcomitrium patens
Lineage: Eukaryota; Viridiplantae; Streptophyta; Bryopsida; Funariales; Funariaceae
Description: long non-coding RNA (PPAT_LNC006008)
Source: RNAcentral
AUCUCAUCUUUAUUUCCUUUGGUGAAGGAGCUGCUUCCGACGGAGACCCUCGUCGGCGCCAUGAAUCGCCUCUUUCUGGUCUUGUUGUAGAUGGUUAUUGCGGACGUGGGUGGCUUUUUAUUGUUGGGGUAGACUCAAAACUAUGGUUAGGGUUUUAUGUGACCUUCGAAGUGACUUAAAAGUGAGGUUUGACUUCUGUUGCAAAGUAAUAUCGACUCCUUCACUGCUGUUUUAUGACGUAGAUGGGUCAUUGGUGGAAUUAUCCUUAAAUGAUUAAUUUCAAUUAGGAAACUUGCAUAUUUAUGGCUGUUUGUUUCGUUUUCCAUGCCUUCACUAUCUUCAUCAAAUUUUGUUAUUGUUUCCUAAAAUGUUUGUGUUUUAAUUUAGAACAAACGUUGGUAUUGUAUGUUAUGUAUAGAAUUAUGAUUUUUUUAAAAUUAAAACAUAUUGAAACGACACAUUGAAUGUUAGUGUGUAUAUAUAUAUAUAUAUAUAUAUAUUUGUGUAGUACAUCACCAUAAUACACAUAAUACACAUAAUUAUUUAUGAAAUGUUGAAAACAUGUGGAUGUUUUUACAUGAUAGAUUAACCAAGUAAUCUAAAAGUUCUUUGUUACAUUCUGAAAAGAUGUGGAUUCAAAUCUCACCAUCGUCACAAAAACCAUUAGUUGCACCAUUAUAAAAUCUAUUAGGUGAUGUUUUGCGUGAUAUAGGACUUAGAACCAGAUGAAAUAUAGAAUGCUGAUGAUAGUUUCUCCCUACAUAUUAAAUUAAAAAUUAAAAUAUUUAAUAUUUGUAAAUACACAAUCUAAAACUACAUUGAAAAUUAAAAUCAUAAUAUUUUAAAGUUUCAAUUUGGAUAUUAUUUUUAUAAGUACAAGUAUAUUUUAAACUAAUUCUUUGAAAUAUAUAAUUUUUUUUCAAUGAAUUUACUCUCUCUCUCUCUCUCUC